GACGAACGCUGGCGGCGUGCCUAAUACAUGCAAGUAGAACGCACAGUUUAUACCGUAGCUUGCUACACCAUAGACUGUGAGUUGCGAACGGGUGAGUAACGCGUAGGUAACCUGCCUGGUAGCGGGGGAUAACUAUUGGAAACGAUAGCUAAUACCGCAUAAUAUUAAUUAUUGCAUGAUAAUUAAUUGAAAGGUGCAAUUGCACCACUACCAGAUGGACCUGCGUUGUAUUAGCUAGUAGGUGAGGUAACGGCUCACCUAGGCGACGAUACAUAGCCGACCUGGGAGGGUGAUCGGCCACACUGGGACUGAGACACGGCCCAGACUCCUAACGGAGGCAGCAGUAGGGAAUCUUCGGCAAUGGACGAAAGUCUGACCGAGCAACGCCGCGUGAGUGAAGAAGGUUUUCGGAUCGUAAAGCUCUGUUGUAAGAGAAGAACGGGUGUGAGAGUGGAAAGUUCACACUGUGACGGUAUCUUACCAGAAAGGGACGGCUAACUACGUG
This 505-nucleotide ribosomal RNA is filed under the name uncultured bacterium. RNAcentral's name for it is "partial 16S ribosomal RNA". It matches the Rfam family "Bacterial small subunit ribosomal RNA", at positions 28 to 507 of the family's 1533-position model. The record is from RNAcentral.